AAUUUGGGAGCAGAGGGGGUAGUCCCCACUCUCCUGUCUGAUCCCUCCCUCUCCUCCCCGAGUUCCACCGCCCCAGGCGCACAGGUUUCCGCCAGAUGUCUUUUCUUCUUCGCAGUCUUUGCCCGAGCGCUUCCGAGAGCCAGUUCUGGACUGAUCGCCUUGGAUGGGAUACCGGGGGAGGGCAGAAGGACACUUGGCUUCCUCUCCAGGAAUCUGAGCGGCCCUGAGGUCCGGGGGCGCAGGGAAUCCCCUCUCCCGCCGCCGCCGCCGUGUCUGGUCUGUACGUCUUUAGAGGGUCGAGGAAGUCACGUCGGGACAGACUGGGGCGAGUAAGGUUAAGAAAGGCUGACAUGUUUUAUGUUUUAGUGACGACGCUUAAUAGGCUGUAUAUCUGCUCUAUAUGCAGCACAUACAUACAUAGCUUUUUAAAAAACUCUUAUUUUGUGGAAUGAAAUAGCUACCUUCAGUGUACAUAGCUGUAAUUUAUCUUUGUAGCUAAGUUGCUUUCAACAGAAGAAAUACUGUUCUCCGUACCUUCACCCCCUCCUUGUUUCUUGGAAAGAGAGGCGGGAAAGGUAAAUUCUCCUCAUAAUACUGGUCCUAAGCAGUUACCCUGUAAAUAGUUAAUGUGAGCUCCACGGGUCACCAAUAUAAAGUUUCCUGCCUUCUGAUGGACAAAGGAAGCGGCGAUGGCCAGAAUUUGCAGGGACGCUAAAUGUCCAAAACGUAUGCCUUAAGGCAUUUCUCUCCCUGAUGCGUGGAUUAUUUUGGUUACUAGCCCUUCAUAGGAGAUACUGGUAAAAUAAAUUCGAGUUUUAAAGUUCA
RNAcentral lists this long non-coding RNA (825 nucleotides) under Homo sapiens (human). RNAcentral describes it as "non-protein coding PACERR:1". Lineage: Eukaryota; Metazoa; Chordata; Mammalia; Primates; Hominidae. The record is from RNAcentral.